GCUGAGCGACACCGCUGAGCACCACUAUCAUGGUGAAUUCUCUGCCAGACGUUUGGGCGACAACGUUGAGUGUUCUUCUCAAGUGUCGCACGCAUCGUUGAGCGAUGACCCAAUGCUGAGCACCACUACUUUGGGCUGGUUCAAUUUCUGCUAUGUUUUAAUGAAUUAUAAAUAGAUAUGGACGACCUAGAUGGUCUAUCUUUUGGCAGAAAGGACGCAGAAACACACCUCUCACC
Molecule: long non-coding RNA, 236 nt
Filed under: Vigna radiata
Lineage: Eukaryota; Viridiplantae; Streptophyta; Magnoliopsida; Fabales; Fabaceae
Description: long non-coding RNA (VRAD_LNC002053)
Source: RNAcentral